UACGGAGGGGGCUAGCGUUGUUCGGAAUUACUGGGCGUAAAGCGCACGUAGGCGGCUUUGCAAGUUAGAGGUGAAAGCCCGGGGCUCAACCCCGGAACUGCCUUUAAGACUGCAUCGCUUGAAUCCGGGAGAGGUGAGUGGAACUCCUAGUGUAGAGGUGGAAUUCGUAGAUAUUAGGAAGAACACCAGUGGCGAAGGCGGCUCACUGGUCCGGUACUGACGCUGAGGUGCGAAAGCGUGGGGAGCAAACAGG
Molecule: ribosomal RNA, 253 nt
Filed under: uncultured bacterium
Lineage: Bacteria
Description: partial 16S ribosomal RNA
Rfam family: Bacterial small subunit ribosomal RNA
Source: RNAcentral